AAGACUAUAGACCUGCGGAGUACCUGCGGAAGGAUCAUUAACGAGUGUAACUUACCCUUUUUUUUAAAAGAGGGUAGUACCUCCUGUCCUUUGUAGGCCCCUUUUUAUUGGGGGGCUUUUUAAGACUUUCUGCUUCGGCGGGGUUAUUCCCGCCGGAACACCCUCAAAAAACUCUUCAAAAACUAAUUCAGUCCGAGAAUUUUUGAAAAUAAAAAAAACUUUCAACAACGGAUCUCUAGA
Molecule: unclassified non-coding RNA, 240 nt
Filed under: soil metagenome
Description: partial contains 5.8S ribosomal RNA, internal transcribed spacer 2, and large subunit ribosomal RNA
Source: RNAcentral